Molecule: ribosomal RNA, 402 nt
Filed under: uncultured bacterium
Lineage: Bacteria
Description: bacterial SSU rRNA
Rfam family: Bacterial small subunit ribosomal RNA
Source: RNAcentral
UGGGGAAUAUUGGACAAUGGGCGAAAGCCUGAUCCAGCCAUGCCGCGUGAGUGAUGAAGGCCCUAGGGUUGUAAAGCUCUUUUAACGGGGAAGAUAAUGACGGUACCCGUAGAAUAAGCCCCGGCUAACUUCGUGCCAGCAGCCGCGGUAAUACGAAGGGGGCUAGCGUUGCUCGGAAUCACUGGGCGUAAAGCGCACGUAGGCGGACUCUUAAGUCGGUGGUGAAAUCCUGGAGCUCAACUCCAGAACUGCCUUCGAUACUGGGAGUCUCGAGUUCGGGAGAGGUGAGUGGAACUGCGAGUGUAGAGGUGAAAUUCGUAGAUAUUCGCAAGAACACCAGUGGCGAAGGCGGCUCACUGGCCCGAUACUGACGCUGAGGUGCGAAAGCGUGGGGAGCAAACA